RNAcentral lists this ribosomal RNA (742 nucleotides) under uncultured bacterium. Its description in RNAcentral is "bacterial SSU rRNA". It matches the Rfam family "Bacterial small subunit ribosomal RNA", at positions 59 to 801 of the family's 1533-position model. The record is from RNAcentral.
CAGUCGAACGAAGCACUUAUCUUUGAUUCUUCGGAUGAAGAGGUUUGUGACUGAGUGGCGGACGGGUGAGUAACGCGUGGGUAACCUGCCUCAUACAGGGGGAUAACAGUUAGAAAUGACUGCUAAUACCGCAUAAGACCACAGAGCCGCAUGGCUCGGUGGGAAAAACUCCGGUGGUAUGAGAUGGACCCGCGUCUGAUUAGGUAGUUGGUGGGGUAACGGCCUACCAAGCCAACGAUCAGUAGCCGACCUGAGAGGGUGACCGGCCACAUUGGGACUGAGACACGGCCCAAACUCCUACGGGAGGCAGCAGUGGGGAAUAUUGCACAAUGGGGGAAACCCUGAUGCAGCGACGCCGCGUGAGCGAAGAAGUAUUUCGGUAUGUAAAGCUCUAUCAGCAGGGAAGAAAAUGACGGUACCUGACUAAGAAGCACCGGCUAAAUACGUGCCAGCAGCCGCGGUAAUACGUAUGGUGCAAGCGUUAUCCGGAUUUACUGGGUGUAAAGGGAGCGUAGACGGCUGUGUAAGUCUGAAGUGAAAACCCGGGGCUCAACCCCGGGACUGCUUUGGAAACUAUGCAGCUAGAGUGUCGGAGAGGUAAGUGGAAUUCCCAGUGUAGCGGUGAAAUGCGUAGAUAUUGGGAGGAACACCAGUGGCGAAGGCGGCUUACUGGACGAUGACUGACGUUGAGGCUCGAAAGCGUGGGGAGCAAACAGGAUUAGAUACCCUGGUAGUCCACGCC